Molecule: ribosomal RNA, 639 nt
Filed under: uncultured Lake Michigan sediment bacterium LMBA2
Lineage: Bacteria
Description: bacterial SSU rRNA
Rfam family: Bacterial small subunit ribosomal RNA
Source: RNAcentral
GAUGAACGCUGGCGGUGUGCCUAACACAUGCAAGUCGAACGGGCCGAGAGCAAUCGAGGGAUCAGUGGCGAACGGGUGAGUAACACGUAAGCAACUUACCCCAGGACCGGUACAACCUCGCGAAAGGUGGCUAAUUCCGGAUGAUAUUGCAAGAUUUUACGUUUUGCAAUUAAACCCCGCAAGGNCCAGGGGAUGGGCUUGCGGCCUAUCAGCUAGUUGGGGGGUAAAUGCCCACCAAGGCUAUGACGGGUAGCUGGUCUGAGAGGACGACCAGUCACAUGGAACUGAGAUACGGUCCAUACUCCUACGGGAGGCAGCAGUGAGGAAUUUUCCACAAUAGCGAAAGCUUGAUGGAGCGACACCGUGUGUGCGAUGAAGUCUUUCGGGAUGUAAAGCAUGUCAGGGGGGACGAUAUUGACUGUACCCCCAGAGGAAGCCACGGCUAACUACGUGCCACAGCCGCGGUAAUACGUAGGUGGCGAGCGUUAUCCGGAAUCAUUGGGCGUAAAGCGCAUUAGGUGGUUUGACAAGUCAAAUGUUAAAGGCUCCGGCUCAACCGGAGUAUGCAUCCGAUCUGUCAAACUAGAGAGGGUUAAAGGGAAGCGGAACUUCCGGUGUAGCGGUGAAAUGCGUGAUAUC